This 413-nucleotide ribosomal RNA is filed under the name uncultured bacterium. RNAcentral's name for it is "bacterial SSU rRNA". It matches the Rfam family "Bacterial small subunit ribosomal RNA", at positions 355 to 783 of the family's 1533-position model. The record is from RNAcentral.
UGGGGAAUCUUGGACAAUGGGGGCAACCCUGAUCCAGCCAUGCCGCGUGAGUGAUGAAGGCCUUAGGGUCGUAAAGCUCUUUCGCCUGUGAAGAUAAUGACGGUAGCAGGUAAAGAAACCCCGGCUAACUCCGUGCCAGCAGCCGCGGUAAUACGGAGGGGGUUAGCGUUGUUCGGAAUUACUGGGCGUAAAGCGCACGUAGGCGGACCAGAAAGUUGGGGGUGAAAUCCCGGGGGCUCAACCCCGGAACUGCCUCCAAAACUAUUGGUCUAGAGUUCGAGAGAGGUGAGUGGAAUUCCAAGUGUAGAGGUGAAAUUCGUAGAUAUUUGGAGGAACACCAGUGGCGAAGGCGGCUCACUGGCUCGAUGACUGACGCUGAGGUGCGAAAGUGUGGGGAGCAAACAGGAUUAGAU